Molecule: long non-coding RNA, 1057 nt
Organism: Aphidius gifuensis
Lineage: Eukaryota; Metazoa; Arthropoda; Insecta; Hymenoptera; Braconidae
Exons: 3
Source: RefSeq, a predicted model, not a curated record
CAAGGUCUGUAGAUUAAUAGACGGCUGGGAUAAGGUCGUCGCAUGACUCAGUGCGCAUGCGCGGUCAGCCAUGUUUGAUGCUAUUCCCCACUCCUAAUGUUCACCACACAAUGUAAACAAACAGUGUAUGGCAUGUCAAAAAAAUUUCAACAUCAAAAUUUAAUCAUUUAUUUAUUGAAUAAAUAUUGUACGUCAACGUUGUGCGAUCGGUUGCUUCCCCCAGAGAUUCAGAUCAUCGUCGAAAAUGAUCUACUGGUGCUGGUGUGAGCCAAAUAAAACCAAGCUCAACGUUAUGUGAGAUAUAUUUAUAAAGAUCCAACAUAAUGAAUCUCAAUAUGAACAACAUCGUCAGGAUGGCUCAAAAAAAAUUAAAACCAAAUGCAGUACCAACUUUGUUUGGUGAUGUUUUGAUAGUUUUUUUAAGUAAAAUUCACCAAAAUACAAGUGACAACAUGAUGUUAAUUAGAGUUCAUGUGAAUCACUAAAGCAGUUGUCAACAACAAACUUAGGUGAAUCUUUUUCCAGACCAUUGCUUGAUGUAAUCAUAGAUAAAUAUACCACUGACAACAAAAAGAGUUUAUUCAAGUUACCAAAGUCUAAUAAUACCAAUAAAUGUUUACCAAGUGAUGAGCAGCAGAUUGAAUUGCCACUAGUAAACUUGGAUAAGGAUCAUAUAGUAUCAAUUCUUGCUGAUGAAUUACAAGCAGAAAUAAUAAAAAAAUAUAAUGAAGGAGUUAUCAAAUUUAAUUUCAUGCUUCAAAAUCAACAUUGUCUUUAUCACCACGAAAUUUCGAGUUUAAACUAGGAAGUAGAAAGCUUAAAAAAAAUAAAUAUUAGUUUAGACUGCGAAUUACGAGUUGAAUAAGAAAAAUGGAUACUGUCAGAAAGACAACGAGAAAAAAUUAAAAACAAGUUUAACAAGCUUCUUAAUGUAUUCGGAAAAUUGUCCAUUUUUAAAAAACCUUUUAAUUGAGUUAUUUUAUUCACUUAUUUAUAGUAUGCGACAGGCAAAAGCCUACUAAAGCCAAAAAAAUAUAUUUUGUUGUCAGAUAAAGAA